This 201-nucleotide long non-coding RNA is filed under the name Homo sapiens (human). RNAcentral describes it as "HSALNT0296294". The record is from RNAcentral. Lineage: Eukaryota; Metazoa; Chordata; Mammalia; Primates; Hominidae.
GGCUAUUGAAAUACCCCAGGUCCAACUAUGGCCUUCCUUGGCCACCCCCAUCCAUUGCCAAUACCUCUACACACGUAAAUUGGAGCUCGGACUACACCUCUCGGACUACACCUCUCCUAAAAGAAAGAAGCCCAGAUUCAAGAAGUAAUUUGCCAAAAGGGAGGCGGUGACAAGACUGGGCUGGAAUUGGGCCCUCAGGGU